Molecule: long non-coding RNA, 1198 nt
Filed under: Calidris pugnax (ruff)
Lineage: Eukaryota; Metazoa; Chordata; Aves; Charadriiformes; Scolopacidae
Description: lncRNA (ENSCPUG00000013413.1)
Source: RNAcentral
AACCUCCAAAAAACAACUAACUGCAAGGCAGACUCUAGGCUGACCAAGAGAAAGCAUUUUCAAAAGGGAGCCCGCACAUCACCGCAGCCGGUGAGGAGAGAAAGGCAAAACUCGAGGUACCGAACCUCGGACCGGGUUAAACCACGCCCUGGGCGUGAUUUUAAGCAAGUGGUCAACGAAUUGCAGAUUAAUCCACAACUCCCUGCCCCGAGCAAGGCGCGGAGGCACGGCCAGGAGAAGGCGCGGCUGUGGGGCAGCAGCACCGUCCAUCCCGGUACCGGUCGGGUGCUGUGGGGCACAGGGCUGCCGCCCUUCACCCCUCCGACGGGCCGGGGGGGAGCAGGUGCGGGCCCCCUCCUUGCUCAGGCGCCCGGGGAGGCGACGGAGGGACGCGGCCUCUCGCAGGGCCGUCCCCCACGCAGGGCGGGCGGGCCGCGGCGCGCAUCGUCCCCUCCCACCGCUCCGCGGGAGGGAGCGCGGAGGAAGGGCCGCGGGGACGGGGGGGUGGGGAGGGAGAAUACCUCAGGCGCUGCUCGCCCCGCCGCCGCGCGGCCCUGCUCCCGCCCGCCGCCGCUGCUGCCUGCCGGGAGCGGAGCGGGGCGGGGCCGACCGGGCCGGCAUGGCGGCGGGGACGCACCGGAAACUGCGCAGCACCAGCGGCGGNNNNNNNNNNGGGCGAGCUGGGGUCUAGGGCUUCCUCUGCUUUGUAGGGCGCUGGGCAGCGCGGCGGCGAGGGCCGGGAGCGGCGGCGCGGGGAGCCGGGGAGCGGCGGCCAGCAGAAGGACUGAAUGAUUUGUCAACAAGUUCCUGUCCCUUCUCAUACACCCAUAAAAGCAUUUAAUAUGAGGAGGCUUAAGAGAAGUCUGACUGCAGGAAAAACUUUUAGAACAGCAGAGUAUAGCCCUGCAUGCUGGUUUAUUUUGCAACUUUAUCAGUUUUACCUUUAUUUGCCUUAUUCUGUGUUGGGCUUGCAGAGAAGAAAUUUACACUGAAAGGGAGAUUUGCAAUUCUGGUUAGCACUGAGAGGCUGUAUGUAGAGAGAGUUACUUCGUGACAGCAAUGAUGUUUUAUUACUGUUGCACUUAAUGGAACACAAUUUGUGGCUAAAAUUGUAAUUUUGGGGGAGGCAGCUGUGACUUGAAUAUUUAUACUUAUAACUUCAAAUAAAGAAAAAACUUAAAACUGAUUUCUUCUUGUA